Oncorhynchus tshawytscha (Chinook salmon) is the source of this 569-nucleotide long non-coding RNA. The record is from Ensembl. Lineage: Eukaryota; Metazoa; Chordata; Actinopteri; Salmoniformes; Salmonidae.
UCAGGUAGUCUAACUGUGUGUGUGGGGUUCAGGUAGUCUAACUGUGUGUGGGGUUCAGGUAGUCUGACUGUGUAUGUGGGUUUCAGGUAGUCUGACUGUGUAUGUGGGGUUCAGGUAGUCUAACUGUGUGUGUGGGGUUCAGGUAGUCUAACUGUGUGUGUGGGGUUCAGGUAGUCUGACUGUGUGUGUGUGGGGUUCAGGUAGUCUGACUGUGUGUGCGGGGUUCAGGUAGUCUGACUAUGUGUGUGGGGUUCAGGUAGUCUGACUGUGUCUGUGAGGUUCAGGUAGUCUGACUGUAUAAGUGGGGGUUCAGGUAGUCUGACUGUGUGUGUGGGGUUCAGGUAGUCUAACUGUGUGUGUGGGGUUCAGGUAGUCUGACUGUGUGUGUGUGGUGUUCAGGUAGUCUGACUGUGUGUGUGGGGUUCAGGUAGUCUGACUGUGUCUGUGAGGUUCAGGUAGUCUGACUGUGUGUGUGGGGGGUUCAGGUAGUCUGACUGUGUAUGUGGGGUUCAGGUAGUCUGACUGUGUGUGUGGGGUUCAGGUAGUCUGACUGUGUCUGUGAGGUCCGC